Mastomys coucha (southern multimammate mouse) is the source of this 681-nucleotide long non-coding RNA. RefSeq lists it as uncharacterized. NCBI's taxonomy places the organism in Eukaryota, Metazoa, Chordata, Mammalia, Rodentia, Muridae. The record is from RefSeq and is a predicted model, not a curated record. The transcript is spliced from 4 exons.
AAUGACACUGUGAUAUCUGUCUGCUAUGGACAGGGAACUAGGGUCUAAUUCAAGUGAGGGUGGGGGACAGAAGGGGACAGGAGGUGUUGGGAGCAGCCGCCCAUGGAAUGGAGUGUCAGAGUCCAGAACAUGCCGCACAGAAGGCGAUGCCCUUCACCCAGCCUUCGCACGUCACCGAAUCAACGGUUCAAGGCUACCAGAUGGAGAAGAACGGGCAGAUGGCCAAGGCAAACAAGCCCUGAGACGCAUUUGGGGACCUCUUGCCAUGGGAGAAGCACAAGACCUGGACAGUAAGCACAGAAUCCUCGCCAGGACCCAUCAACAGGAGGCGACCUGGUCCACACUGAACCCAAGAACCUGAUCUGGAAAACAAGGCCCUCCUGAGCCCUGCCAGGUUAAACAUACAUCCACAUGUGCCCACAAACAUCUGGCCAGCACUAACCUGACCUUUGGAAAGCCAACUGUGACAGACAGACCUGCUUUCUUCCUGAGUCCAGGCCUGGAGCUGAGCUCAGCACAUUCCCACCAGAAGACAAUGUCCUCAUCCACUUGGAGCUAGCUGUCUUGACAGGAAGUAAAAGGAAAUGGUUGCUGUAAUACAACCACGGGAUGCCCUUAAGAUGUCCAACCACGGGAAAAGAUUGAACUGGGUACUACAAUACAUGUCCUUAUGAUGUCCAA